Molecule: unclassified non-coding RNA, 376 nt
Filed under: uncultured Alphaproteobacteria bacterium
Lineage: Bacteria; Pseudomonadati; Pseudomonadota; Alphaproteobacteria
Description: contains 16S-23S intergenic spacer region
Source: RNAcentral
UCUCGGCUUAUCACCGGCAGUCCCCCUAGAGUGCCCAACUGAAUGAUGGCAACUAAGGGCGAGGGUUGCGCUCGUUGCGGGACUUAACCCAACAUCUCACGACACGAGCUGACGACAGCCAUGCAGCACCUGUGUGCAGGUCCCCGAAGGGAAAGAAUCCAUCUCUGGAACCCGCGACCGGGAUGUCAAACGCUGGUAAGGUUCUGCGCGUUGCUUCGAAUUAAACCACAUGUUCCACCGCAUGUGCGGGUCCCCGUCAAUUCCGUUGAGUUUUAAUCUUGCGACCGUACUUCCCAGGCGGAGUGCUUAACGCGUUAGCUGCGACACCAAAAUCUAGUUCUGAUAUCUAGCACUCAUCGUUUAGGGCGUGGACUAC